Molecule: long non-coding RNA, 624 nt
Filed under: Fukomys damarensis (Damara mole-rat)
Lineage: Eukaryota; Metazoa; Chordata; Mammalia; Rodentia; Bathyergidae
Description: lncRNA (ENSFDAG00000022541.1)
Source: RNAcentral
GAAAAUUAAAAACAAACAAGCAAACGAAGAAAAGAGGGGCUCUUAGCUGGACCCCUCCCGCAGGUUCUGAAUAUCCUUGAGCUGCUUUCUUUGCCCAAAUAAGAAGGAAAAUUAUUUUGCUGUCUUAAAUCCAGUGUCUUACUCCCUCCAUUUGUCAAUUUGGUUUUUUUCCACGAAGAUGUGGCCAGGGCAGCCAGUCGGGCUUGGGACUUGAUCACGCCAUCAGACAGCUGUGCUGAAAAAACUCCUUCCAAGGCACAUGUGAUGUGGGACAAAGGACAUCAAAACCUGCUGCUGGGACCUGAGGCUCCACCAGACAUCUGACUCAAAGCUUUCUGAGGUGCUCAGGGCUAACAAGGAUAAAAGGAAUGAAUCAUCCCUAGGGAUUUCUUAUGGAAGAGAAGACAGAAGAGUGGAUUUCCCAGCCACCUUAAUGACAGCCUCAGUGGGGAGCAGGGACCCUCACUCCUGUGAUCCUGGCACUCCAGAGGCUGAGGUCCAAAGGUUAGCUACUCUUGUGAACAAAUGAUCUCUCACACCUAUGCAAGCAGGGAGGACAUCAGUGACCUGCCCCUCCAAGAUCCUAAGGUAUGGUUCACUGAUGUAGCUUUGUCUAAAAAAGAC